RNAcentral lists this ribosomal RNA (497 nucleotides) under uncultured bacterium. RNAcentral describes it as "partial 16S ribosomal RNA". It matches the Rfam family "Bacterial small subunit ribosomal RNA", at positions 28 to 507 of the family's 1533-position model. The record is from RNAcentral.
GAUGAACGCUGGCGGCGUGCCUAAUACAUGCAAGUCGAGCGAACAGACGAGGAGCUUGCUCCUCUGACGUUAGCGGCGGACGGGUGAGUAACACGUGGAUAACCUACCUAUAAGACUGGGAUAACUUCGGGAAACCGGAGCUAAUACCGGAUAAUAUAUUGAACCGCAUGGUUCAAUAGUGAAAGACGGUUUUGCUGUCACUUCUAGCUGGAUCCGCGCCGCAUUAGCUAGUUGGUAAGGUAACGGCUUACCAAGGCAACGAUGCGUAGCCGACCUGAGAGGGUGAUCGGCCACACUGGAACUGAGACACGGUCCAGACUCCUACGGGAGGCAGCAGUAGGGAAUCUUCCGCAAUGGGCGAAAGCUUGACGGAGCAACGCCGCGUGAGUGAUGAAGGUCUUCGGAUCGUAAAACUCUGUUAUUAGGGAAGAACAAAUGUGUAAGUAACUAUGCACGUCUUGACGGUACCUAAUCAGAAAGCCACGGCUAACUACGUG